This 303-nucleotide ribosomal RNA is filed under the name uncultured bacterium. RNAcentral describes it as "partial 16S ribosomal RNA". It matches the Rfam family "Bacterial small subunit ribosomal RNA", at positions 507 to 807 of the family's 1533-position model. The record is from RNAcentral.
AGCAGUCGCCGCGGUAAUACGUAGGGUGCGAGCGUUAAUCGGAAUUACUGGGCGUAAAGGGCGCGUAGGCGGACAGUUCAGUCGGGGGUGAAAGCCCGGGGCUCAACCUCGGAAUUGCCUUCGAUACUGGCUGUCUUGAGUAUGAGAGAGGUGUGUGGAACUCCGAGUGUAGAGGUGAAAUUCGUAGAUAUUCGGAAGAACACCAGUGGCGAAGGCGACACACUGGCUCAUUACUGACGCUGAGGCGCGAAAGCGUGGGGAGCAAACAGGAUUAGAUACCCGUGUAGUCCCUGUCUCUUAUAC